UCAAUUUAGUAAUUCAAGAUCUCUGCAAUUAUUAAUCAUGAAAUAAUUUAUUGAACAUAAAGAUUUUAUUAACUCUUUACCAUUUAAUUCGGCCAUAUCCAGCCCAAAUAUUCUACCUGUUUUAUGUUAAUAUUGACCAGAUCCAACUCCUCACACCUACCCCACAAUGUCAUGCUAGAAGUAAACAAGCACACCACUGUAAUCUUGAAGCUAUGAGAUAAUGAAUAAUUAAUUCAAAACGACGUGAAUAAAUAUGCAUAACAUUUGAUGGAGUAAUUUGAAUGCUGAAGGGUUAAAUAUAAGCAAAUAGAAUUGAAAUAAGUAAAAAUAAGGACAAAUAUAAACAAAAUGUAAGGGCAAUAUGUCAGGUUUUGUUUUAAUAACAUUAAUUACAAGAAACAAAAAGAAAAAUGGGGUUUUUGUGUGUAAAACAACAGUUAGAAUUGGAGGGAAGAUGGUAACAGACAAUCCAAGUAUUUGACAUUGAGAGAAAUAACUUCCUUAUGCAAAUAUAUAUAUAUAUGUACACAUAAACAUAAUUUAUGUAAGACAUAUUAACAUAAUUUAUGUAAAUAUUAGUAUAGUCUGUACAUGAUAACACACACACACACACACAGACUCAAUAUAAAGGAAUUUCAUAGUUUAAAACUUCAUGUUAAAACUUAAAGAGUGUUCAAAAGAGAAGGGGGUGGGGGCUCACAAUUUGGGGUAUUUUUUAAAUUUGACAUCAUCUCUGAUAUAACUGAGGUCAACUGCUUUGAGGGGUGGGAGUUAAUUAUGAAAUCUAUAUCUUACAGUUUUACCUGUAGGAUAUGAUGCCUUCUUGAAUUUAUCACCAUUGUAUGAUGAGCUGUGUGAACCAUUAGACCAAAGGCACACAAAUAAAGAAUCUUGUCUUUGAGUAGUAAUUCUGUCAGGUAAAGUCAGCUGUUCCUUUCGAAGUUCCAUAUUUUCUUUCAGCUGAUCCUAAUAAAACAGUGAGAAAAUUAAAGAAUUUCUACAGGUGUUAGCUGUAAAAUGUCUCAUUGUGGAGUCUAAUUGG
Octopus sinensis (East Asian common octopus) is the source of this 1042-nucleotide long non-coding RNA. RefSeq lists it as uncharacterized. The transcript is spliced from 2 exons. The record is from RefSeq and is a predicted model, not a curated record. NCBI's taxonomy places the organism in Eukaryota, Metazoa, Mollusca, Cephalopoda, Octopoda, Octopodidae.